Molecule: ribosomal RNA, 253 nt
Filed under: uncultured bacterium
Lineage: Bacteria
Description: partial 16S ribosomal RNA
Rfam family: Bacterial small subunit ribosomal RNA
Source: RNAcentral
UACGAAGGAGGCAAGCGUUAUCCGGAAUUAUUGGGCGUAAAGCGUCGGUAGGUGGUUGGCCAAGUCUGCUGUCAAAGGGUGGGGCUUAACCUCAUAAAGGCAGUGGAAACUGGCGAGCUAGAGGGCGGUAGGGGUAGGGGGAAUUCCCAGUGUAGCGGUGAAAUGCGUAGAGAUUGGGAAGAACAUCGGUGGCGAAAGCUCCCUGCUGGGCCUGCACUGACACUGAGGGACGAAAGCUAGGGAAGCGAAAGGG